RNAcentral lists this long non-coding RNA (1084 nucleotides) under Sus scrofa (pig). RNAcentral describes it as "lncRNA (ENSSSCG00070005809.1)". Lineage: Eukaryota; Metazoa; Chordata; Mammalia; Artiodactyla; Suidae. The record is from RNAcentral.
UGAACACGAGGGACGUGGGGGCCACUGCAGAGUACCAUCUUCACUGCCGUCUAAUAGCUACACCCUGAGCUGUACGAGGCAGCCCUGCUAAACCUGUACGGCAGGUGGAACAUGACGUGUACCCAGCGGAGCUUCUCUUUGCCUCGUCUCCAUUCUGCCAGGUAGAUAAUUCACCCACCGUGCAUCAGGCUCGCGCUUGGCACUGGGGAGAGAGAAGCAAUGAAAACACGGUUCUUGCUGUCCAGACACUUCCAUUCUAACAAGAGGGACAUGCACGGGCAAACAUGAUUGCAAUGAGGGUACGAGGCAUGUGCUAUUAGACGUGUGUCGAGGGAACAGAAACGGUACAGAGGAGUGCUGAGUCCUGAGCGGGUCAAGGAAGACCUUCAGAGAUGCUGAUACACAAAUCAAGUUUUGAAGGAUGCAGAGGAGUUCAGAAGUGAAAACGGAAAGGAUGGCAAAGGGAAGAGCACGUGCAAAGGCCCAGAAGCAUACAGAGAAGGACCUCCGGCCCUUCAAGGAAUGUGCCUAGUGGCUCGCUACGUCCCCAGCCCAGCUCAGAAGCACAGGAAGAGUCACAGCUCCUCUCUCCAGCUCCAGGCUUGUACCUCCAAGGGUCUCUGACCCUCUUGGGUCAGAACUUCUCCUAAUUCUGGCCUCCACGCCCCUGGCCCCAAUGACAUGUGAUGGGUAUGCCUUCCUGACUUUGAUUUUCUAGGUGCUUCUGGGCAUGAUCUGCUCUGUGACCUGCAAUUAUGAGAGACACUCCCCCCCCACCCCACCAUGCUCUGGCCAAGAGGCCAGCCCAGCCCAGCCUCCCCAACAGGGACCAGACACAUAGAAGGAUCUGCAAGUUGUCUGAUGGAGCCAGAGUCAAAACGGUAGAUGGCCAGAUGUCAUCCAAUAAAUCCCGUCCAGGGCAUUGUUUGGUCUGUGCUUUCUACGUAUCUCAUUUUAAAAACAAACCCCAAAAGAUUCUGUGAAGUCAUGUUAAAAAAAAAAAUCCAAAGGUCCACUUUCAUCCCCCGUUUGUUUGGUUGCCAGAGGGCCACGCCCCCACAGUGACAUCCUUAGGGAAGGACUA